Molecule: ribosomal RNA, 649 nt
Filed under: Bacillus sp. (in: firmicutes)
Lineage: Bacteria; Bacillati; Bacillota; Bacilli; Caryophanales; Bacillaceae
Description: bacterial SSU rRNA
Rfam family: Bacterial small subunit ribosomal RNA
Source: RNAcentral
AACACGUGGGCAACCUGCCUGUAAGACUGGGAUAACUUCGGGAAACCGAAGCUAAUACCGGAUAGGAUCUUCUCCUUCAUGGGAGAUGAUUGAAAGAUGGUUUCGGCUAUCACUUACAGAUGGGCCCGCGGUGCAUUAGCUAGUUGGUGAGGUAACGGCUCACCAAGGCAACGAUGCAUAGCCGACCUGAGAGGGUGAUCGGCCACACUGGGACUGAGACACGGCCCAGACUCCUACGGGAGGCAGCAGUAGGGAAUCUUCCGCAAUGGACGAAAGUCUGACGGAGCAACGCCGCGUGAGUGAUGAAGGCUUUCGGGUCGUAAAACUCUGUUGUUAGGGAAGAACAAGUACGAGAGUAACUGCUCGUACCUUGACGGUACCUAACCAGAAAGCCACGGCUAACUACGUGCCAGCAGCCGCGGUAAUACGUAGGUGGCAAGCGUUAUCCGGAAUUAUUGGGCGUAAAGCGCGCGCAGGCGGUUUCUUAAGUCUGAUGUGAAAGCCCACGGCUCAACCGUGGAGGGUCAUUGGAAACUGGGGAACUUGAGUGCAGAAGAGAAAAGCGGAAUUCCACGUGUAGCGGUGAAAUGCGUAGAGAUGUGGAGGAACACCAGUGGCGAAGGCGGCUUUUUGGUCUGUAACUGACGCU